This 739-nucleotide ribosomal RNA is filed under the name uncultured archaeon. RNAcentral's name for it is "bacterial SSU rRNA". It matches the Rfam family "Archaeal small subunit ribosomal RNA", at positions 1 to 750 of the family's 1478-position model. The record is from RNAcentral.
UUCCGGUUGAUCCUGCCGGACCCGACUGCUAUCAGAGUGAGAUUAAGCCAUGCGAGUUAACGUAGCAAUACGUGGCGCACGGCUCAGUAACACGUAGUCAACAUGCCCAGAGGACGUGGAUAACCUCGGGAAACUGAGUCUAAACCGCGAUAAGUGAGGAUUUCUGGAGUGGUUCCUGACUAAAAUCUAUAUGGCCUCUGGAUUGGACUGCGGCCGAUCAGGCUGUUGGUGAGGUAAUGGCCCACCAAACCUGUAACCGGUACGGGCUUUGAGAGAAGGAGCCCGGAGAUGGACACUGAGACAAGGGUCCAGGUCCUACGGGGCGCAGCAGGCGCGAAACCUUCGCAAUGCGCGAAAGCGUGACGAGGUUAGUCCGAGUGGCUCCCGCUGAGGGAGUCUUUUGCUGGCUGUAAAAAGGCUGGAGAAUAAGGGGAGGGCAAGCCUGGUGUCAGCCGCCGCGGUAAUACCAGCUCCUCGAGUGGUCGGGGCGAUUAUUGGGCCUAAAGCAUCCGUAGCCGGUUCAGUAGGUCUUCUGCUAAAUCCAGUCGCUUAACGAUUGGCAUACAGGAGAUACCGCUGACUAGGAGGCGGGAGAGGUGGACGGUACUCCACGGGUAGGGGUAAAAUCCUUUGAUCCGUGGAAGACCACCAGUGGCGAAGGCGGUCCACCAGAACGCGCUCGACGGUGAGGGAUGAAAGCUGGGGGAGCGAACCGGAUUAGAUACCCGGGUAGUCCCAG